AGCCCAGAGCCUGAAUCAGUGUGUGUGUUAGUGGAAGCGUCUGGAAAGGCGCGCGAUACAGGGUGACAGCCCCGUACACAAAAAUGCACAUGCUGUGAGCUCGAUGAGUAGGGCGGGACACGUGGUAUCCUGUCUGAAUAUGGGGGGACCAUCCUCCAAGGCUAAAUACUCCUGACUGACCGAUAGUGAACCAGUACCGUGAGGGAAAGGCGAAAAGAACCCCGGCGAGGGGAGUGAAAAAGAACCUGAAACCGUGUACGUACAAGCAGUGGGAGCACGCUUAGGCGUGUGACUGCGUACCUUUUGUAUAAUGGGUCAGCGACUUAUAUUCUGUAGCAAGGUUAACCGAAUAGGGGAGCCGAAGGGAAACCGAGUCUUAACUGGGCGUUAAGUUGCAGGGUAUAGACCCGAAACCCGGUGAUCUAGCCAUGGGCAGGUUGAAGGUUGGGUAACACUAACUGGAGGACCGAACCGACUAAUGUUGAAAAAUUAGCGGAUGACUUGUGGCUGGGGGUGAAAGGCCAAUCAAACCGGGAGAUAGCUGGUUCUCCCCGAAAGCUAUUUAGGUAGCGCCUCGUGAAUUCAUCUCCGGGGGUAGAGCACUGUUUCGGCAAGGGGGUCAUCCCGACUUACCAACCCGAUGCAAACUGCGAAUACCGGAGAAUGUUAUCACGGGAGACACACGGCGGGUGCUAACGUCCGUCGUGAAGAGGGAAACAACCCAGACCGCCAGCUAAGGUCCCAAAGUCAUGGUUAAGUGGGAAACGAUGUGGGAAGGCCCAGACAGCCAGGAUGUUGGCUUAGAAGCAGCCAUCAUUUAAAGAAAGCGUAAUAGCUCACUGGUCGAGUCGGCCUGCGCGGAAGAUGUAACGGGGCUAAACCAUGCACCGAAGCUGCGGCAGCGACGCUGAUGCGUUGUUGGGUAGGGGAGCGUUCUGUAAGCCUGCGAAGGUGUGCUGUGAGG
RNAcentral lists this ribosomal RNA (964 nucleotides) under Escherichia coli. RNAcentral's name for it is "partial 23S ribosomal RNA". It matches the Rfam family "Bacterial large subunit ribosomal RNA", at positions 296 to 1268 of the family's 2925-position model. The record is from RNAcentral. Lineage: Bacteria; Pseudomonadati; Pseudomonadota; Gammaproteobacteria; Enterobacterales; Enterobacteriaceae.